GUGGGUGGGAUGCAGCAGAGGGAAGGGGGAGAGGGGUGUUAAAAGGUCAUUUGUUCAGAUUUUCACACUGCAAGACACUGCUCAACGUACUCGGGGGGGUGUUUGUGUAUAGUCACAUGCUUUUGAAAGUGGUUGUGGUGCUUUUCCAACUUAAUGCUGAGUUCUUUUUCCCUUUAUUAUACAGACUCAGUGCUUGUGAGAGGGGAAGUAUUGCCUCUUCAAGGCACCUCAGGGUGGUGUUUAGUUUUCCCAGAUUCCUGGCGGAGGACUCGAACCAGGUCUGUUUUGUAUUGUUAAGAGGCACCCCCACAGAUAUUCAACCCACCCUUGUUGCUGCCAACUCCCCUGGCAGAAGGGUUACAUAUAUAUAUGCACAUCACAGUUAUUGAUAUUUGCCACAUCUAAGCACUACGAUCCUGCCAAGUGCUGUGAAGCAAACUCCUUCCAUGAGAGACGAGGAUGCUCAGCACCUUACUGGAUGAGGCCCUUUGGCUUAUUGCUGGACACCACGGGUCUACUCUAAUAAACAAGGGAGAAGAAAAUUGUCACAUUCAACAAAGAGCUGGGAUAUAUUGCGGACCUUUCGAGCUCAUUCAAAGGCUUGUAUUGGAAGCAGGACUUUAGAGAAACAAUGGCACGUUGUCAAUAGGAUACACUGGACAUUAUUAAUAAACAUUAGGAGGCUUGAUAUGAUCUGGCAGAAGCAAUGUAAUGAAAUCAAGUACUGGAGCUGGACCGGGUGCGGGAGGAAUCUGAACAAGAUGCUUAAUGACUUACUGGACUGUGAAAUACAGUGGAGAGCCAGGUUGGAAAGGAAAAUCUUUUAAUGAAUUCAGCACAUGCACCCUUGGAAAGCUUUGCUCGCCGUUCCUUAGAAAUGUUUGACUCACCUGAAGAUCCUGAUCGUAUUAAAAAAAACCAAACAUGUUCAACGUGCUCCUAUUUCUUAACAUCUGCAAAGAACAUGGGUCAUGAGUGCAUGAUGAAAGCGCUUCCCUUGAAGGCCUCAAAGGUGGAACAAACUGCAGGACAAUGGCUCCAGAUGGGGAAAGGCAAAUAGCCCACCGGUUGAGGAAGUUGAAAACAAUGCAAGAUACACAUUGCUGUAGCAAAGGUUGUUACAGCAGUACAAGAAGUUUUUCCAUACCAAAGAUAAGAGGUAUGAUGUCAUCUCGAACUUGCUGGAGGAAGCCAAGUAUCAUAUAUAUGAAGACACCUUUUACAUUGUUAUUUCCUCACAUGUUUACCGUAGGCUACAUGGAUUCAUAGGUCUCUUAUCAUUAUAACCUCUUGAUAGCUCUUAGUGAGAGGAUAAGAAUGACUCAAUCUUCAUGUUCUACAGUCAAACAAUACAUCAGUGUUUUCAUAAAUACUAUAUACAAAUUACAUUGAGAACAAUAGGCCUCUCCAUAUUUCCUGAGUGGAUGAAUCUGGGAUCGCAAGCCUUUUUACCCAGCAGUAAAUGCUCUGUAAGGAACGGUACUGCAUUGGCAGAAAGACAGACUGAGAUGACUGAAUGGGGCUUUUCCAUCUCUAACUUCUAUGAUUUUAUGAUUCUGUGAAAUGAAUAUUAUCAUAACACUGACUAACAAAAUCCCAUCAUCAUGAUUUACUAUUAAUUAUCAACAUUAGCCUAUUAUUAAUUACCAUUUGCACCAUCUAUCACCAUCUGGCCAGACUGAUCAUUCACAAGCGUGCACAUACAUUGUUUUAACAAAAGCUGCAGUACACUAUAGAAUAUGUUUCACAGUAGGGUUGUCAUAGCCUCAUCUGUAAGCUUUUUACUAAUGCUCUUUACAAAGUAUCUUAUUAUACACGGAUGAGGAAUGUGGCUGCAUCCAGUAAUAAUUUCAUUAAUUAUGAAUAAAGCAUUUACAAAUGACACCCUUAUCUAAAAAUGGGGAUGAACUCAUUUUGUUUUAAUGCAGAUG
Molecule: long non-coding RNA, 1931 nt
Organism: Gopherus evgoodei (Goodes thornscrub tortoise)
Lineage: Eukaryota; Metazoa; Chordata; Testudines; Testudinidae
Exons: 3
Source: RefSeq, a predicted model, not a curated record